AUUCCAGCCACUACAAUGAGCCUGUCCACCCAUUUCUCCCUCCACCAGCCUCCAUUGGUGUUUACAUAGAGACAGAUAUUUUGCCACGGACAGAUAUUGGACCUGUGGCGUUGACUAUGCGGUUAGCUCUGACGGUCCCGUGUGGGGUCUGGACCUCCCACUUCCCGUCGCUGGUGGGUGUGAGACCAGAGAGCGGAGCUGGUUUGUCGAUCUGGGCUCCGUAGAUACGGGGCCCCAGCUGCCAGGGUCAUGAUCAGUCCAGACAUCGUCCAUGUUGAGCAGGGGGAAGAGCUCCUUGAUCUUCUCAGGUGUGAUGAGCCACUGGGGCGUGGGGUGUCGGUGGGUCCUGGACAUCUGGUACUUCAGCUCAUCCACUCUGACUGGGGUGGAGGCAACACGGAUGCUGCCUGGCUGGUGGGAACCCACCGCCUAGAGACACACAGAGAAAGUGAAGGUGUGAACAUACAGAUACAGACUCACAUUAUCAUCCAUUGUGCCGUUCUGUGGUUUAUGUGUAGUGUACGAGACUCUCAUACAGAUUGAUGCUGUAGUAGUGGACCUUCUUCAGGUUGAUACCAGGGUGGUAGUAUGUGGUCAGACCAGCAAAGAACAGACAAUAAACAUGGAUACUUAGAGGAGGAGGCAUGGAAGUGUACAUAUGAUCGCUGACUACACUUAAUGGACUGUAAGUUUGCAAAGCAAUGUUUUGAAAGUGCAUCUUUUUUAUAUACAGUGGGGCAAAAAAGUAUUUAGUCAGCCACCAAUUGUGCAAGUUCUCCCACUUAAAAAGAUGAGAGAGGCCUGUAAUUUUUCAUCAUAGGUGCACUUCAACUAUGACAGACAAAAUGAGAAAAAAAAAUCCAGAAAAUCACAUUGUAGGAUUUUUUAAAGGAAUUUAUUUGCAAAUUAUGGUGGAAAAUAAGUAUUUGGUCACCAACCAACAAGUAAGAUUUCUGGCUCUCACAGACCUGUAACUUUUUCUUUAAGAGGCUCCUCUGUCCUCCGCUCGUUAC
This 1013-nucleotide long non-coding RNA is filed under the name Oncorhynchus kisutch (coho salmon). RNAcentral's name for it is "lncRNA (ENSOKIG00005039205.1)". Lineage: Eukaryota; Metazoa; Chordata; Actinopteri; Salmoniformes; Salmonidae. The record is from RNAcentral.